This is a long non-coding RNA of Thrips palmi, 3205 nucleotides long. RefSeq lists it as uncharacterized. The record is from RefSeq and is a predicted model, not a curated record. NCBI's taxonomy places the organism in Eukaryota, Metazoa, Arthropoda, Insecta, Thysanoptera, Thripidae. The transcript has 3 exons.
AGCCCUCUCUGAUGAUAUAAAAAGAGCCUCUGGGCUCCGAAAACAUUUGUUCAAUGUAUCGGAAAACAUAGUCCCACCUGUGUAUGAAAAUUUGAAUUAAAUAAGUGUCCUUAAUUUUUAUGAAAGUGAGUGCAUUAAACUUCCAUUGUCUGUCCUUUAAAAAAAACGAGGAAAGCUGCGUUUUGCCUCUCAGCCUGUUGGGUAGGCAACCCAAUCGACGCUCACGCAGCGCGUGAGUCGCAAAAGUGCAGUUUGUAGUUGGUCAGUUGGUCGCUAGAUGGCGUCAAGCGCUCGAAAAGAACUGGGGCUGUCAUCGGGCUGGCGGCGGACGGCUUAGCUGGAGUCAGCAUUUCAACAGGGCCUCGGGUGAGUAGAGGGGGAACGGGGUGGUGCUUCAAAAUGCGGAGCAAGCGGUGUCGGACAGUCAGUUUGCUACUGAAGUUCAGCAUAGAAGCGUGUGUUAGUGUUAGUUGUGUGAAGAAAAAAUGAACUCAGAAGGUCAGCGUUGUGACGAGGUCGUUGCGAAGAGACCUCGAGUGUUAGAAAUAAUAGAUUUGUGCAAUGCCUCGAAGAACAUCCCUACACCUAGAGUGUACAAGAUUCCGCGACGCAGGCUGUUCCCAUCAGCCAUCCCAGCGCCGCCUGCAGCAGAAUCCUCAUGGAAGAAGCGGCGCUGAACGACACCGCGACGGCAACCGGCGCCACGGCGGGGAACGCCAGCAGCGCCCCCGCCGACCUCCGGGACUCCGCACAGCGCCGCGGCGGGACCAGGACGACCGGCGGACCUACGCCGACGUGGAGCGGCGACGCUCCCCACGGGAGGAACCCCGGCGGUCCAGAUCACCACGCUUCUCCCCAGUCCAGGUGACGGCCACGAACCAGCGGGAAGCUGCCUGGUCUCCGGAUCCGUGGGACGACAUCCUCGCGUCGUCUCCGGAGCGCGCACCGCGCACCGGUGGCCCCAGCCAGGGCUCCGGCCAGGACUCCAGCCAGGGCUCCGGACCGGAGCCGUCGGAACCAUCCACUACACUACAAACCUAACUGUCUACUAAGUACACACUUACAAACGCACGCUUGCAAGUACACACUUACAAACGCAUGCUUGGCCAAGUACACACUUACAAACGCAUGCUUGCAAGUACACACUAACAAACGCAUGCUUGACGCCGUAUAACUCCAUGCGUCAAGCAUGCGUUUGUUAGUGGUCGCGGGGCCCGGAAGGCGGCCGAUGCAACAGUAUAACUGUUCAUUGAAUACUAGUUUCACGACUUGCUGUACCGAUGCUUGGAAUCGGGACACACUGGUUAAUACGAGUAGGUUUCGCACAGCACUUUGAAGGCAAAUAUGAAAACUUAUUUGCCAGUCCUAAAAGUCCGUACUCGUGUCCCGUGUCCCGUCUCACAAUUAUCCCGUCUUCCGUCGUGAACUCGACUCGCCAGCUCAUGUUGCUGUAUAUAGUCGCUAUCACUUUCGAGCAUAUGCAGCCAUUCGUCACUUCACUUGGUGGGCAUAGGGCUCGAGGAGCCCACCGGAUAAUAAGAACGUCGUCCCACCAAUAAAUUUUUUCAAUAGCCAAGUCUCGGCCGCACAAUAUCGAAAAAAAAAAAAAAAAACAGAGUACACCCAGUUAAUAAAGUCUCUAAACCUCUUCUGUCUAAUUCUCCUCGCCCUGUCGGCCCUAAGGUGUUCAACGUAUUCCUCAUGAACACGCAGCACCUGCUCGAACCCGGACGGAGGUUUGAACGGAGACGUUUUGCGAUGUUUUUAAUUGCACGCUCUUUUAGCUGUACGUCGUAAGUCUAGCGGUUUUAUGCUUGCUACAACUUGCAGCGUUUUGACCUGAGUUGUAUUGUAUGCCCUUAGUAGUCGUCUCAGGACUUUUUUUGCGAGAUUUGAAGACUGGUUUUCAUAACUUUGAUGUCUAACCUCUCAAGGAAGACAGAUGACGAGUAUGCAGUUCGAGCAACGUAGACUGCCUCGUAAUACGUAAACAGCCUCUCAUGGUCCACUUGGUAGUUUCGUCUCGCCAUACUCUACAAGUCGUGUAGCGUACAUUGUGUGCUCCAACUGGAGCAUGCCUGCAAGCACGCUCUAGCUAGCGCAUGCCUGCCAAGCAUGCACUUACUAGUGCAUACAUGCCAUGUACACGCUUCCUGAUACAGGCAACUCCCUAUCCCUUAUGCACUAGAUGCAUGCUUCAGUUAGCGUGUACAUGGCAUGUAUGCACAGUGCAUGCAUACCAGGCAUGCGCUAGAUAGCUAUCACGUGGGGGUUGGUCGGGUCGGCGAGGUCAAUCCAGUUGCUGGCGUCGUGUCGAUGCUCGGGCCCGCUUUCUUGCUAUGGGUCAUGAAGGCCUCCCAUGAAAUGUGCAGGUUGUGCCUGCCAAAAGACGUGUCCAUACGACUCUUAUCAAUUUGAGCUGAGUCAACCCAAGCCUCAUUCUUGAAAGGAUUGUCUUUGAAGUUAUCAGCCUCGGAGCCGUAGAAAGUUCCACGGCAGCCGAUUCUCACCAUUUUAUGGGCGAUCCAAUUUUUUAUCUCAAUCCUAUCGGGAUGACAGUAAGUUGUAUUUUGCUCUUCGUGAGUCAAUCCCGGGAUAAAGCCCCAAUCAAUUUUGUACCUUUUAUAGCACCUCCUUACCUCCACAUAGACUGUUACGGGGUCCUCCAGGUGGUGCACUGUCGCUGUAUAGCUGAGGGGGCGUUCCAUCCUAAUGUUCGCCGGGUGAAGGUCAGCGAGUCAGUACACCGUUUUGUCUGCUGCAGUCGUCGUGGAGGCGGGGACGGCGCCCAGGCUGGCCGCGACGGCCAGGAGUAAGGUAGCCACUCUAGCCGUCAUGUUGGUAGCACUGCGCUCGGGGCGGAACUGCAGGCUUCAGGUGUCGUAAGCAACUCCACACUUCGCCACGGGUGUAAUGUUUUGGUUCGGAAAGGUUCAAAAUCCAUUCAUGGUUCGAUGGCCCACACCGCGAACCAGCGGGAAGCUGCCUGGUCUCCGGAUCCGUGGGACGACAUCCUCGCGUCGUCUCCGGAGCGCGCACCGCGCACCGGUGGCCCCAGCCAGGGCUCCGGACCGGAGCCGUCGGAACCAUCCACUACACUACAAACCUAACUGUCUACUAAGUACACACUUACAAACGCACGCUUGCAAGUACACACUUACAAACGCAUGCUUGGCCAAGUACACACUUACAAACGCAUGCUUGC